This 56-nucleotide transfer RNA is filed under the name Gnathostomula armata. RNAcentral's name for it is "tRNA-Val". The record is from RNAcentral. Lineage: Eukaryota; Metazoa; Gnathostomulida; Bursovaginoidea; Gnathostomulidae.
UACUUUAUAGCUUAAAUUUAAAGCUUUUUUUUACAAGAAAAAGAUUUUUUUAGUAU